Molecule: ribosomal RNA, 253 nt
Filed under: uncultured bacterium
Lineage: Bacteria
Description: partial 16S ribosomal RNA
Rfam family: Bacterial small subunit ribosomal RNA
Source: RNAcentral
UACGGAGGGUGCAAGCGUUAUCCGGAUUCACUGGGUUUAAAGCGUGCGCAGGCGGCUUUGCAAGACAGAUGUGAAAUCCCCGGGCUUAACCUGGGAACUGCAUUUGUGACUGCAUGGCUGGAGUGCGGCAGAGGGGGAUGGAAUUCCGCGUGUAGCAGUGAAAUGCGUAGAUAUGCGGAGGAACACCGAUGGCGAAGGCAAUCCCCUGGGCCUGCACUGACGCUCAUGCACGAAAGCGUGGGGAGCAAACGGG